AUUCCCUCCACCUGAGAUGUUGUGACUCAACGGCCAGAGGGGGCCAGGGGAGAAUUGACGUCUCUUCCCCUCAACAUGGCCUCUGGAAAACUCAGUUAGGAAAGGGACAGAGAUGCAAGCUUGGGAGACAAGAAUUCCUCUGCCAAGUUGGGAAGGCUCUCAGCGUGGCCAGAGGCACCAAGAACUCCCAUUUCCACCAGGAUUCCCUGGAAUGGUUCAGUUCCGGGCAAUUUGUCUUUGAAUGCAAAGUCGAGAGGGCAAGGAUUAGCUCAGGAAGCCAUUGCUCCUACAGGAAAUCUACUACAUCUUGAUAUGCCCCCAGUUUACAAAGUCUUGAGAGUCCUGGCAUCUUCUAAAGCCUCGGCCUCACCAUUGCACGUCUUGGAGAGG
Molecule: long non-coding RNA, 390 nt
Filed under: Phascolarctos cinereus (koala)
Lineage: Eukaryota; Metazoa; Chordata; Mammalia; Diprotodontia; Phascolarctidae
Description: lncRNA (ENSPCIG00000029288.2)
Source: RNAcentral